UACGAAGGGGGCUAGCGUUGCUCGGAAUUACUGGGCGUAAAGGGAGCGUAGGCGGACAUUUAAGUCAGAGGUGAAAUCCCGGAGCUUAACUUCGGAACUGCCCUUGAUACUGGAUGUCUUGAGUGUGAGAGAGGUAUGUGGAACUCCGAGUGUAGAGGUGAAAUUCGUAGAUAUUCGGAAGAACACCAGUGGCGAAGGCGACAUACUGGCUCAUUACUGACGCUGAGGCUCGAAAGCGUGGGGAGCAAACAGG
Molecule: ribosomal RNA, 253 nt
Filed under: uncultured bacterium
Lineage: Bacteria
Description: partial 16S ribosomal RNA
Rfam family: Bacterial small subunit ribosomal RNA
Source: RNAcentral